GGAUUAGAUACCCUGGUAGUCCUGGCCCUAAACGAUGAAUACUUGGUGUCUGGAAUUAUUAUUGUUCCGGGUGCCGUAGCUAACGUUUUAAGUAUUCCGCCUGGGGAGUACGCACGCAAGUGUGAAACUCAAAGGAAUUGACGGGGACCCGCACAAGCGGUGGAGCAUGUGGUUUAAUUCGACGCAACGCGAAGAACCUUACCUGGACUAGAAUGUGAGGGAAGGGCUUCUAACAGAGUCCGUCCGGGAAACCGGACCCAAAACAAGGUGCUGCAUGGCUGUCGUCAGCUCGUGCCG
RNAcentral lists this ribosomal RNA (297 nucleotides) under uncultured bacterium. RNAcentral's name for it is "partial 16S ribosomal RNA". It matches the Rfam family "Bacterial small subunit ribosomal RNA", at positions 775 to 1067 of the family's 1533-position model. The record is from RNAcentral.